GGGGGGGGGGGGGGGGGGGGCGGGUGGAGGGGAGUAGGGGGCGGGGGUUAGGCCGGAGCUUUGGACACCAUAGCCGGUGAGUUGCGAACGAGUGAGUAACUCGUAGUUAACCUGCCUUGUAGCGGGGGAUAACUAGUGGGAACGAGCGCUAAUACAUCAUGAUAUUGUUUAUUACAUGAUAAUUGAUUGAAAGCUCCUAAUGCACAACUACCAGAUGGACCUGCGUAGUAUUACCGAGUAGGUGAGGUAACGGCUCACCUAGGCGACGAUACAUAGCCGACCGGAGAUGGUGAUCGGCCACACUGGGACUGAGACACGGCCCAGACUCCUACGGGAGGCAGCAGUAGGGAAUCUUCGGCAAUGGACGAAAGUCUGACCGAGCAACGCCGCGUGAGUGAAGAAGGUUUUCGGAUCGUAAAGCUCUGUUGUAAGAGAAGAACGGGUGUGAGAGUGGAAAGUUCACACUGUGACGGUAUCUUACCAGAAAGGGACGGCUAACUACGUG
This 505-nucleotide ribosomal RNA is filed under the name uncultured bacterium. Its description in RNAcentral is "partial 16S ribosomal RNA". It matches the Rfam family "Bacterial small subunit ribosomal RNA", at positions 27 to 507 of the family's 1533-position model. The record is from RNAcentral.